UUUCAAAAUAUGGUUUUGGAUUGAAAAUAAUAUUUAAUUGCUAAAUUACAGAGAGUUCUGCUUUGCCUAAGGUUUUUUUUUGUGUUUUUUUUUUUUUUUUUUUUUUUACCCAUAUGCCUCGAGUGAUUAAGUACUUGCAGGUGGUUUUUUUCAGCAUUUAUUAACUUGGCUCAAGUUUAAAUACAUUAUUGGUUGUCUUUUCUUUGGUGUCUCAGCUUGCUUUUUUUUUUUUUUCUGGAAAAAUAAUCAAAAGAAAUUCAUACCAAGGAAGACUGCUCACCUAGGUGAAUUCAUAAUCCUCACUCAGGAGAAGAAUGCAAGGAUCAAAGUGGGACAGCAGAAAGACAGCAAGUCAGGGAAAGGUUCCACAUCUUCUCUUGACAAGGAAAUGGUAACUUGAGUUUGUAAGCUGUGUGUUAAGUCAAAUAGCAUGUUGUGAAUGAUGAAUGAAGAAUGCUUAGCAAACUAAUAAACAACUUAAGACAUUCA
This 489-nucleotide long non-coding RNA is filed under the name Anser brachyrhynchus (Pink-footed goose). Its description in RNAcentral is "lncRNA (ENSABRG00000014526.1)". The record is from RNAcentral. Lineage: Eukaryota; Metazoa; Chordata; Aves; Anseriformes; Anatidae.